RNAcentral lists this ribosomal RNA (497 nucleotides) under uncultured bacterium. Its description in RNAcentral is "partial 16S ribosomal RNA". It matches the Rfam family "Bacterial small subunit ribosomal RNA", at positions 28 to 507 of the family's 1533-position model. The record is from RNAcentral.
GACGAACGCUGGCGGCGUGCCUAAUACAUGCAAGUUGAGCGCUGAAGUGUGGGACUUGUACCAAAUGGAUGAGCAGCGAACGGGGGAGUAAAGCGUGGGGAAUCUGCCUUUGAGCGGGGGACAACAUGUGGAAACGAAUGCUAAUACCGCAUAAACACUUUAAACACAAGUUUUAAGUUUGAAAGAUGCAAUUGCAUCACUCAAAGAUGAUCCCGCGUUGUAUUAGCUAGUUGGUGGGGUAAAGGCUCACCAAGGCGAUGAUACAUAGACGACCUGAGAGGGUGGUCCGCCACAUUGGGACUGGGACACGGCCCAAACUCCCACGGGAGGGAGCCGGAGGGGAUCUUUGGGAAUUGGCGGAAGGCUGAACGGACAACGCCGGGGGGGGGGAUGAGGGUUUCGGGACGGAAAACUCUGUUUGUAGGGGAGGACGUUGUAGCGGGGUAAAAGCUCAUCAAGUGACGGUACCUACCCAGAAAGGCACGGCUAACUACGUG